GGGGACACAGCUCAGUGGUGCAGUGCCUGCCUGGCAAGCGUGAGGUCCUGAGUUUGAUUCCCAGUAUCUCCC
This 72-nucleotide transfer RNA is filed under the name Cavia porcellus (domestic guinea pig). It matches the Rfam family "tRNA". Rfam says of the family: Transfer RNA (tRNA) molecules are approximately 80 nucleotides in length. Their secondary structure includes four short double-helical elements and three loops (D, anti-codon, and T loops). Lineage: Eukaryota; Metazoa; Chordata; Mammalia; Rodentia; Caviidae. The record is from Rfam by way of RNAcentral.